Drosophila suzukii is the source of this 1231-nucleotide non-coding RNA. NCBI's taxonomy places the organism in Eukaryota, Metazoa, Arthropoda, Insecta, Diptera, Drosophilidae. The record is from RefSeq and is a predicted model, not a curated record.
UUUCCAACUAAUUUUUUUUUUUUUCCAUUUUCCUAACAGCGUAUUUGGUAAGUCCCAUAAGUCCAUCCAUUUGAAAUCUCUAUCCGCAGCCAGAGGAACCCACAAAACGCACUGACUAAUGCGCGACGAUUAGAAGCUGAGCCAAAUAUAUGGCAGCAUAUAUAGUCUAUAUAGUACAAAGUCGACUCACCCGCACACAGAGAGGCGGCAAAAUCUCUUUGCAAAAUGUCGCCGACGACAUUUUAUUUCGCCAGAUUUUCUCGACUAAUUUUUCAUUUUCUUGCCCGCAAAUGCGAGUACAACCAGAGGAGGAAAAUGCAAAAAAAGAAGCAAAGGACUGGUGUGCAGUUGGCAGGCAGCACAAGGCACAAUUAAUCACGGCCACUGGGUGAACGGGGGAAAACCGCAGCAAUGUGACAAAAAUUCCGCCUGAUUUUGUCUUAAUUAACGCCAAACGCUUCAAUAGCGAUAAAAUAUGCCCCAGUCGAAGGCCCAACUCCAAUUAAUGCCCUGCAGCCCGGCCUCAUCAGUCAACGCUCCUGUGACUCUUUGAGUUUUGUUUAUUUUGCCCGGCUCGACUUUGCGAAAUUCACGCAUCAUUCGCACUUUUGGUGGCAGACAGAAGAUUUGCAAGACUUGGCCAGACCCGUAAAAGUAUUUAAUUGGACCACACAGAAUCGGCCCAAAGCGGAUCUUUUUCUUUUUCUGCGUAUAAAGACUUCGAUUUUAUGGAUUAGUUCUUUAGCCCCCACCUUUCUUCUUGGAGUUCCUUCUUAUUUAGGAUUUUUACUGCCUUGUGACUCAUAAACCACAACACGCAUUCAAUCAUCCCAGUCCCAAUCGCAGCCCCACACCAAUCGGAAUCUCGGUCUGCAAACAGGAUUUCACUUAUCAUAAACAAGAUGGCGCCACGUGUGGUCCUUCUUACGAGCAUCAGCGAAUGGCUCUAAAUCAAAAAAUGUAAACAAGUGCAAAAAUAUCAAUAAAGACUGCGGGCGGGGGAUUGGAAGCUCGAAUGGAGCGCGAGGAUCCGGACUCAGCAUGUUGUACAUUUAAUUUUCAACUUUUGACAUAUUUAUGAUAACUUGGGUCAUUUACGUGCAACCUUUGUCUGGUGGUUCAGCAGCCCCAGAAAUACGAUUGUAACGCGAAAGAAGACGGCGAUGCCAGGUGAAAGAAGUCGGUUGCGCAUGCGUGGCACGUACACUGGGAAAAAAUUUUCAAAAAAUAU